RNAcentral lists this long non-coding RNA (217 nucleotides) under Mytilus galloprovincialis (Mediterranean mussel). The record is from RNAcentral. Lineage: Eukaryota; Metazoa; Mollusca; Bivalvia; Mytilida; Mytilidae.
UUACCUAUAUAUUUCACAUUAUAUAUCCUUUCAUUGAAUUACAUUUUUUCACUUCCAUGUUUUAAACACACUUCCAUGUUUUAAACAAUGUUUUUGUUUAUUCCUGAUUUAAUGAGGGUCUAUUUUCCGUGGGUUCGGUCGCUGUGUACCUUUCAUGUCAACAGCUAACUCACAGGGUAGAUUUAUUUUUAGAUUACCACAGUUUAAAGGUUUAACG